GGAGACGUGGCCGAGUGGCUUAAGGCAGCGGUCUUGAAAACCGCCGAGGGAGGAAUCCCUCCGUGAGUUCGAAUCUCACCGUCUCCGCCA
This 90-nucleotide transfer RNA is filed under the name Ideonella aquatica. RNAcentral's name for it is "Ideonella sp. 4Y11 tRNA-Ser". It matches the Rfam family "tRNA". Rfam says of the family: Transfer RNA (tRNA) molecules are approximately 80 nucleotides in length. Their secondary structure includes four short double-helical elements and three loops (D, anti-codon, and T loops). The record is from RNAcentral. Lineage: Bacteria; Pseudomonadati; Pseudomonadota; Betaproteobacteria; Burkholderiales; Sphaerotilaceae.